ACAAAUCUUUUGAAUAUUUCAUCAAAUCCAAAGAAAUAUUUAAAAGCUGCAGAAAAUCCAACUGGAGUUACUGCAGCUGAUUUGCUGAAACAGGGCUUGUCAAAUCCAUCCGAGUUCAACAAAUAUAGAAAUGAAAUCAUUAAACAACUGAAGACAAUAUUUAAAACUAACCUGGACGGAUCUUUAAUAAACUCUGGUUACAAAGCAACAGUUUAAACACAGAAAAUAAACAGAAUCAAAAUUUGAAUUAAUAUAUUUCUUGUCAUUUGAAACUAUAUGUAAAUAUUCAUUUGUAUAAUAAAAAUCAGAAUAUGCAUA
Stegodyphus dumicola is the source of this 318-nucleotide long non-coding RNA. Lineage: Eukaryota; Metazoa; Arthropoda; Arachnida; Araneae; Eresidae. The record is from RefSeq and is a predicted model, not a curated record.